AUGGCAGGCCAAAAAGGCAAAAGGAAGUUUGUGGAUCUAGGUGUCACAGAUGUCAUUUGCAAGGCCGUGAGGCGAAAUUUUCCGGAAACAAAAAAAAAUGACAUCGAGUGUGUGAUUAAAGUGUGGCUUCGGCAUGCUGGGGAAAAGCUCCAGAAGCAGCGCUUAAGAACUUCUCGCACUCACCAUGAGGAAUGUCUUCAAAGUGUCGCGUUGUCAAGCCCAUCGGAUGAAGACCUCUGAAGGCACAGGGCAAGAAGUCUCAUCUAGUGAAAACUGCCAAGUUUCAUUCCUGAAAAUAAACAUGUUUUCUGUGCA
Long non-coding RNA from Rhipicephalus microplus (southern cattle tick), 315 nucleotides. The record is from RefSeq and is a predicted model, not a curated record. Lineage: Eukaryota; Metazoa; Arthropoda; Arachnida; Ixodida; Ixodidae.